CCUCCAGUUCCGUCUGGAGUAGCCUAUGGGCACGUGCAAUAGUGAGUAAUCCAUUUGUGCGACAGCUGUCCAGACAAGGUAACCUUUCCUUUAAGGAGAAGACCGAACCGCAAGGGGACGUCAACGGCCGGUAACAUCAAUCGGCGCGAGGG
This 152-nucleotide non-coding RNA is filed under the name Bacteroides reticulotermitis. Lineage: Bacteria; Pseudomonadati; Bacteroidota; Bacteroidia; Bacteroidales; Bacteroidaceae. The record is from RNAcentral.